GGCCUCAUUGGAUAUUUUUGAGCAAAUAGUUAAUAGUCUAUAAUGAGACAGAUUAGACAGAAGGUGUUGAUCAGUGAGCCAACUCGCGACAAUGGCAGUACAACCCGAAGACCUUCCAGUUUAAAUUCUGCAUUUGGCUAUGUUUUCUUUCGAAUCGUCUAUGUAAUUUUAUUUGAACUAAGGAACUGCUAUGAAAGUAUGAGUAAGCGAUGCCCCAUAUUUAUAUAUUGUAAAAAAAAAUUGGGACAUUACAGACUGCAUGCACUUUAUGAUGACAA
Zingiber officinale is the source of this 278-nucleotide long non-coding RNA. RefSeq lists it as uncharacterized. The record is from RefSeq and is a predicted model, not a curated record. Lineage: Eukaryota; Viridiplantae; Streptophyta; Magnoliopsida; Zingiberales; Zingiberaceae. The transcript has 2 exons.